Odobenus rosmarus divergens (Pacific walrus) is the source of this 996-nucleotide RNA transcript. It is a transcript of the gene named olfactory receptor 4C3-like, with no coding region annotated. The transcript has a single exon. The record is from RefSeq and is a predicted model, not a curated record. Lineage: Eukaryota; Metazoa; Chordata; Mammalia; Carnivora; Odobenidae.
CUGUUAAAAUUAUGUUUCUCUCUUGACUUUAUAGGCGAUAGCAUAUGUGCAUUCUCCUCCUUGGACUCUAUGGAAAUACCACACAAUAUCACAGAAUUUUUCAUGCUGGGACUCUCACAGAAUGCAGAGAUACAGAGGGUCCUCUUUGUGGUUUUUUUGAUCAUCUAUGUGGUCACAGUGUGUGGCAACAUGCUCAUUGUGGUCACCAUUACCUCCAGUCCCAUGCUGGCUUCCCCCAUGUAUUUUUUCCUGGCCAACCUAUCCUUUAUUGACACCUGCUAUUCUUCCUCUAUGGCCCCUAAACUCAUUGCUGACUCCUUGUAUGAGGGGAGAUCCAUCUCUUUUGAGGGCUGUCUGGCUCAGCUCUUUGGAGCCCAUUUUUUAGGAGGUAUUGAGAUCAUUCUGCUCACAGUCAUGGCCUAUGACCGCUAUGUGGCCAUCUGCAAGCCCCUGCACUACACGACCAUCAUGACCAGGCAUCUCUGUGCCCUCCUGGUGGGUGUGGCUUGGCUGGGAGGCUUCCUGCAUUCACUGGUUCAGCUCCUCCUGGUCCUUCAGCUGCCCUUCUGUGGGCCUAAUGUGAUCAAUCACUUUGUCUGUGACUUGUACCCCUUGCUGGAACUCGCCUGCACAGACACUUAUGUGAUCGGUGUGCUGGUGGUCGCCAACAGUGGUGUGAUCUGCCUGUUGAACUUCCUCAUGCUGGCUGCCUCCUACAUCAUCAUCCUGCAUUCCUUGAGGUGCCAUGGUGCAGAGGGGAGACGCAAAGCCCUGUCCACCUGUGGGGCCCACUUCACUGUUGUUGCCCUGUUCUUUGUGCCUUGUAUAUUUACUUACAUGCGACCAUCAUUUACUUUGUCCAUAGACAAAAACAUGGCAGUAUUUUAUGGUCUUCUGACACCUAUGUUGAAUCCACUCAUUUAUACCCUGAGAAAUGAAGAGGUAAAAAAUGCCAUGAGAAAGCUCUUCACUCAAUAAGAAAGUGCAGGUGUAUAA